GAAAAGAACUUUGAAAAGAGAGUUAAACAGUACGUGAAAUUGUUGAAAGGGAAACGAUUAAAGCCAGUCGUACCGGCGGGUAAUCAGCCUUUUGGGUGUGAUUAUGUGGAGCGUGAGGAGUUUAAUCGCCUUCAUGCCUGCAUAUUCGUGCACUUUGGGUGUACUUGCUCGUGUGGUAGGUUAACAUCAAUUUCGGUCGUCAUAAAAUGAUUGUGGGAAUGUAGCUUCGAUCUCGUAUUGAAGUGUUAUAGACUCUGGUAGAUGUGAUGAUCGAGAUUGGGGAUUGCAACGGAUACCCUUCGGGGCUACUCGUCUGAUCUCUGAGAGUUACUCUGGUGCCGAAAGCGUGCUUAUGGUAUUGGGGUAUUACGGUCAAAAGGUUAGAACGGGUUAAAUUCGU
Molecule: ribosomal RNA, 400 nt
Filed under: uncultured Glomeromycotina
Lineage: Eukaryota; Fungi; Glomeromycota
Description: eukaryotic LSU rRNA
Source: RNAcentral